This 428-nucleotide ribosomal RNA is filed under the name Pseudomonadota bacterium. Its description in RNAcentral is "Proteobacteria bacterium partial 16S ribosomal RNA". It matches the Rfam family "Bacterial small subunit ribosomal RNA", at positions 355 to 776 of the family's 1533-position model. Lineage: Bacteria; Pseudomonadati; Pseudomonadota. The record is from RNAcentral.
UGGGGAAUAUUGGACAAUGGGCGAAAGCCUGAUCCAGCCAUGCCGCGUGUGUGAAGAAGGUCUUCGGAUUGUAAAGCACUUUAAGUUGGGAGGAAGGGCAGUAAGCGAAUACCUUGCUGUUUUGACGUUACCGACAGAAUAAGCACCGGCUAACUCUGUGCCAGCAGCCGCGGUAAUACAGAGGGUGCAAGCGUUAAUCGGAAUUACUGGGCGUAAAGCGCGCGUAGGUGGUUCGUUAAGUUGAAUGUGAAAGCCCCGGGCUCAACCUGGGAACUGCAUCCAAAACUGGCGAGCUAGAGUAGGGCAGAGGGUGGUGGAAUUUCCUGUGUAGCGGUGAAAUGCGUAGAUAUAGGAAGGAACACCAGUGGCGAAGGCGACACCUGGGCUCAUACUGACACUGAGGUGCGAAAGCGUGGGGAGCAAACAGG